RNAcentral lists this unclassified non-coding RNA (297 nucleotides) under Hevea brasiliensis (rubber tree). The record is from RNAcentral. Lineage: Eukaryota; Viridiplantae; Streptophyta; Magnoliopsida; Malpighiales; Euphorbiaceae.
GUUCGUGCUAUUUUCUGGUCUCGGCUCCACACAUUCCAUAUGCAUAUGGUGUGAUCCAUCCCAGCAGUGGCAAGAAGAUGAGCAUGACUUUGUGACCAACUGAGAGCAUUGACAGGCUUUGUGUGGCUAUGCAGAGCUGUAAACAGCCUUUCAGAUAUUUGGCUUUGCUGUGCACGGCCCGUUGCUUGUUUCAAAGAUAACAAAAUAUCACAGGGUAAAUCUGAAUCUGUAAUACUUCCCAAAACAGGUGAAGUGGGAAGAGGUAGAUUAGGAUUCUGGUCUAGGCGAUCGGGGGCA